GUUCGGCUAGAACGCUGGCCACCUUGCAGGGUAUUGUUACGACGUCGAUCGAUACCGUUCCGAAUUCUAGUACUGCUCAACCACCCACCCAUAGUCUUCCCAGAAGAGGAUCCGGUGGACUAGAAUUGUUCAGUGGAUUUUGGCGCUCCAGGACAACAGACAUAUCUUCCGAUCCCCCACCGUCUUCUGGUCGUUUUAUUUUGCCCAGGCAAUCCUAUUCGGUCGAUUCUCAUUGUCCCGAGUCGUUUUUUAGAGGAUCCAGAAGUGAUCAGCAGCUCUGUACAAACGUAUCCUUACCUCUGGCAAACCAAGGAGGUGCCUCAGGGAUCUCUGCCAUCGAAGAGCGGCUGUUGUGCCAACCACGAAGAGGUUCUGUACCUUUAGAAGUAUCGUUUAUUUCCCUUCUAACAGGUAAACCAAACUACAGAGACACCAAGUGAAUCCCAAAACCCGAAUCCCACUAUUACCUCUAUCUAUGCAAGUCCACCAAACUGCGUAGUCCUAGGCUUUUCCAUAAAAAAAGAAAAAUUUCUUCGUUUUCUCCUGGAAAUUCCUAUAACUUUCCAGAAAAACUAUUCACCUUUAUGCAUUGCAAAAUAUCUUAAUGUUAAUUUUGUUGAUUUAUUUGUCCAGCAAUUUCCAAACAACAGAAUACCAUUCACCGACCAUCUUUUCCCAAAUGUCGUUGAUGGAUGUAUAUCUGUAUUGUUGUAAUGACGAGUAAAAAGUACUCUUAUGUUGUGCAUCUGGACAUUGUAAAAAACACUUCUGAGUAUAGUCGGUGUCGUGAUCUCGACAAGAUUGCUGGUAUGUCAAUGAGUCAGUAAACACGAUGACAAAUA
Centruroides sculpturatus (bark scorpion) is the source of this 842-nucleotide long non-coding RNA. RefSeq lists it as uncharacterized. The record is from RefSeq and is a predicted model, not a curated record. The transcript is spliced from 2 exons. NCBI's taxonomy places the organism in Eukaryota, Metazoa, Arthropoda, Arachnida, Scorpiones, Buthidae.